AAAACUGUGGAGGUUCAAGCUUCAGUUGAUAGAGAACAAGACAAAGGGUCGGAUUGGGAGAAACUUAUGAUCUGACCCUCCGACCUAAGGAAUACUGUACCGGGGUCCUCAGACUUAUCACAGAGAAGUCCCCGAAAUUUGACACAGAUACCUUUGGGUCAAAGAAAAAAGAUACAGCCGAGCCCUCGGGCGAGGCGGAUAAGGGUCGGCGAAACAGACAGGGUCGGGCGAGACGGAAAAAGGGGUCGGGCGAAACAGACAGGGUCGGGCGAGACGGAAAAAGGGGUCGGGCGAACCGGGAAGGGGGUCGGCAGUUUACCUUUAGGCCUACUGGUGAAGUCUUGGGGUCGGAAAGAACAGGCUCAGGCGGAGUGAUGAAAGGUGCUAAGGCUUGGGUGGCGGCGAUGUCCGGCGGUGCUCCGGCGGUGGCGGUGCUUCUUGUUGACAC
Molecule: long non-coding RNA, 448 nt
Filed under: Setaria viridis
Lineage: Eukaryota; Viridiplantae; Streptophyta; Magnoliopsida; Poales; Poaceae
Description: long non-coding RNA (SVIR_LNC008213)
Source: RNAcentral